This 429-nucleotide ribosomal RNA is filed under the name Fusobacteriota bacterium. RNAcentral's name for it is "Fusobacteria bacterium partial 16S ribosomal RNA". It matches the Rfam family "Bacterial small subunit ribosomal RNA", at positions 355 to 776 of the family's 1533-position model. Lineage: Bacteria; Fusobacteriati; Fusobacteriota. The record is from RNAcentral.
UGGGGAAUAUUGCGCAAUGGGCGAAAGCCUGACGCAGCGACGCCGCGUGAGGGAUGAAGGUUUUCGGAUCGUAAACCUCUGUCAGAAGGGAAGAAACCGCACUGUGCUAAUCAGCAGUGCCUUGACGGUACCUUCAAAGGAAGCACCGGCUAACUCCGUGCCAGCAGCCGCGGUAAUACGGAGGGUGCAAGCGUUAAUCGGAAUUACUGGGCGUAAAGCGCACGUGGGCUGCUUUGUAAGUCAGGGGUGAAAUCCCACGGCUCAACCGUGGAACUGCCUUUGAUACUGCUUAGCUUGAAUCCGGGAGAGGGUGGCGGAAUUCCAGGUGUAGGAGUGAAAUCCGUAGAUAUCUGGAGGAACAUCAGUGGCGAAGGCGGCCACCUGGACCGGUAUUGACGGUGAGGUGCGAAAGCGUGGGGAGCAAACAGG